GACGAACGCUGGCGGCAUGCCUAACACAUGCAAGUCUAGGGGUAGCAAUACCACUGGCGCACGGGUGAGUAACACGUAGGUUAUCUGCCCCCAUCACAGACAUAACCCCGGGAAACCGGGGCUAAUAUCUGAUGAGGUCGCGAGAUCAAAGCUUCGGCGGAUGGGGAUGAGCCUGCGGCUGAUUAGCUAGUUGGUGAGGUAAUGGCUCACCAAGGCGACGAUCAGUAGCUGGUCUGAGAGGACGAACAGCCACACUGGAACUGAGACACGGUCCAGACUCCUACGGGAGGCAGCAGUGAGGAAUAUUGGUCAAUGGGAGCAAUCCUG
This 327-nucleotide ribosomal RNA is filed under the name uncultured bacterium. RNAcentral describes it as "bacterial SSU rRNA". It matches the Rfam family "Bacterial small subunit ribosomal RNA", at positions 28 to 385 of the family's 1533-position model. The record is from RNAcentral.